UGGGGGACAACGUUUCGAAAGGAACGCUAAUACCGCAUACGUCCUACGGGAGAAAGCAGGGGACCUUCGGGCCUUGCGCUAUCAGAUGAGCCUAGGUCGGAUUAGCUAGUUGGUGAGGUAAUGGCUCACCAAGGCGACGAUCCGUAACUGGUCUGAGAGGAUGAUCAGUCACACUGGAACUGAGACACGGUCCAGACUCCUACGGGAGGCAGCAGUGGGGAAUAUUGGACAAUGGGCGAAAGCCUGAUCCAGCCAUGCCGCGUGUGUGAAGAAGGUCUUCGGAUUGUAAAGCACUUUAAGUUGGGAGGAAGGGUACUUACCUAAUACGUGAGUAUUUUGACGUUACCGACAGAAUAAGCACCGGCUAACUCUGUGCCAGCAGCCGCGGUAAUACAGAGGGUGCAAGCGUUAAUCGGAAUUACUGGGCGUAAAGCGCGCGUAGGUGGUUUGUUAAGUUGGAUGUGAAAUCCCCGGGCUCAACCUGGGAACUGCAUCCAAAACUGGCAAGCUAGAGUAGGGCAGAGGGUGGUGGAAUUUCCUGUGUAGCGGUGAAAUGCGUA
This 560-nucleotide ribosomal RNA is filed under the name Pseudomonas sp. RNAcentral describes it as "bacterial SSU rRNA". It matches the Rfam family "Bacterial small subunit ribosomal RNA", at positions 137 to 692 of the family's 1533-position model. RNAcentral also lists the same sequence under 5 other names. Lineage: Bacteria; Pseudomonadati; Pseudomonadota; Gammaproteobacteria; Pseudomonadales; Pseudomonadaceae. The record is from RNAcentral.